ACACUCGCGCACGCUUCAGGUGCUCGCCCCCUCGUCGCCACGCGGGGGCAGUUCAACGGGAAACAGGGAGCCGCACCGACGCCAGGUCGGGACGGGCCAACCUGUGCUGCCCCCGCAACGGUAAGCGACGCGAAUCCGCAUCCCGGUUUCGCAAGGCCGGUCAACCAGCCACUGGGUCCGCAUGGGCCCGGGAAGGCGGCCGUGCUGAGGUCGCCAGCCCGGAUACCGGCCUGGACGCGGGCGGCGUG
This 248-nucleotide non-coding RNA is filed under the name Cupriavidus sp. Lineage: Bacteria; Pseudomonadati; Pseudomonadota; Betaproteobacteria; Burkholderiales; Burkholderiaceae. The record is from RNAcentral.